Molecule: ribosomal RNA, 513 nt
Filed under: uncultured bacterium
Lineage: Bacteria
Description: bacterial SSU rRNA
Rfam family: Bacterial small subunit ribosomal RNA
Source: RNAcentral
AUUGAACGCUGGCGGCGUGGCUAAAGCAUGCAAGUCGAACGGGUCCGCAAGGACCAGUGGCGGAAGGGUCAGUAACACGAUCGAACGUGCCCCGAGGUGGGGGAUAGCGGCGGGAAACUGCCGGUAAUACCCCAUGAUCUCUCCGGAGCAAAGGUUUACCGCCUUGGGAUCGGCGAUCGUCCUAUCAGCUAGUUGGCGGGGUAACGGCCCACCAAGGCUAUGACGGGUAGCAGGUGUGAGAGCACGACCUGCGACAUCGGGACUGAGACACUGCCCGGACUCCUACGGGAGGCUGCAGCGACGAAUCUUCCGCAAUGGGGGCAACCCCGACGGAGCGACGCCGCGUGUGGGAUGAAGCGCCUACGGCGUGUAAACCACUGUCAGGGGACAGAACCAAUGAUCGUCCCCAGAGGAAGAGACGGCUAACCCUGUGCCAGCAGCUGCGGUAAGACAGGGGUCUCGAGCGUUAAUCGGAAUCACUGGGCUUAAAGGGUGCGUAGGCGGACCGACACG